This is a long non-coding RNA of Cynoglossus semilaevis (tongue sole), 668 nucleotides long. RefSeq lists it as uncharacterized. The transcript has 3 exons. Lineage: Eukaryota; Metazoa; Chordata; Actinopteri; Pleuronectiformes; Cynoglossidae. The record is from RefSeq and is a predicted model, not a curated record.
AUAGCCUUACUAUCCUGAAAUGAAAUGCAAAAAAAAGUUAUUUAAGUGCAUGUGUGUGCGGAAUUGAUUAAGUAAAUCUUUUCAGGUGUAGCAGCAGACCAGUAUCGCCAUCACUUGGGCAGUUGGACUUCGGAUAAGAAGUCCGAAGUAAUUGGUUACUUUUACAAGUCAAGUUUUUGAAAUGAAACUUUUGGACAGCGUUUACAGAGUGUUGUUAAAUGUUUACAGGACAUUGAGGCUGGAAAGAGCAAAUACUACGCAGUGAAUUACCCACGAAGCCAUUAAACUGAUCAUGUCCAAAGUAGUGGAGAUGUACCAGCUGAGCGCAGUGGUCCUUCAGUGUGGAGCCGAUUGAACCUCACCGUUAAAGGCCAAGAGAAGAGGUUUAACCAAGUUGUUCCACUCCUGAUGAUGGGACCUUUGUUGAAUACUGUGAGCACAUGUGGUUGACAGAAGAAGAUGUUGUAUGUAAUCUGUCCAACUUUACCAUUGUAAUUUGACUAGUAUUGUUUUGAACGGUGUAUCAUGGACUUAAAUGCAUGUUUUGGAAAUGUGAAGUGUUUUGCUAAUAAAAGAGUAAAAAGUUGUUGCUGUUCUGUUCAUUGUGAAGGUAUUCUGGUUGUUUUUUAAAAAAACAAAUUAAAAACAAAAAAAAACUAAGCUUUUUC